CGCUGGCGGCAUGCCUAACACAUGCAAGUCGAACGAGACCUUCGGGUCUAGUGGCGCACGGGUGCGUAACGCGUGGGAAUCUGCCCUUAGGUUCGGAAUAACUUCGGGAAACUGAAGCUAAUACCGGAUGAUGACGUAAGUCCAAAGAUUUAUCGCCUAAGGAUGAGCCCGCGUUGGAUUAGCUAGUUGGUGAGGUAAAGGCUCACCAAGGCGACGAUCCAUAGCUGGUCUGAGAGGAUGAUCAGCCACACUGGGACUGAGACACGGCCCAGACUCCUACGGGAGGCAGCAGUGAGGAAUAUUGGACAAUGGGCGAAAGCCUGAUCCAGCAAUGCCGCGUGAGUGAUGAAGGCCUUAGGGUUGUAAAGCUCUUUUACCCGGGAUGAUAAUGACAGUACCGGGAGAAUAAGCUCCGGCUAACUCCGUG
RNAcentral lists this ribosomal RNA (427 nucleotides) under uncultured bacterium. RNAcentral describes it as "bacterial SSU rRNA". It matches the Rfam family "Bacterial small subunit ribosomal RNA", at positions 34 to 507 of the family's 1533-position model. The record is from RNAcentral.